RNAcentral lists this ribosomal RNA (774 nucleotides) under uncultured bacterium. RNAcentral describes it as "bacterial SSU rRNA". It matches the Rfam family "Bacterial small subunit ribosomal RNA", at positions 8 to 796 of the family's 1533-position model. The record is from RNAcentral.
AGAGUUUGAUCAUGGCUCAGAGCGAACGCUGGCGGCGUGCUUAACACAUGCAAGUCGAGUGCGCGUUUCCGUAGCAAUACGGAAAUGGCGCACGGCGCACGGGUGCGUAACACGUGGGUAACCUGCCCUUUGGUGGGGAAUAACCUCGCGAAAGCGAGGCUAAUUCCGCAUAAGAUCCGCAAGGAUGAAAGCCGUAAGGCGCCGAAGGAGGGGCCCGCGCACGAUUAGCUAGUUGGUGAGGUAAUGGCUCACCAAGGCUAUGAUCGUUAGCUGGUCUGAGAGGAUGGCCAGCCACACUGGAACUGAGACACGGUCCAGACUCCUACGGGAGGCAGCAGUGGGGAAUCUUGCACAAUGGGCGAAAGCCUGAUGCAGCGACGCCGCGUGGGGGAUGAAGCUUCUCGGAGUGUAAACCCCUUUCGACCGGGACGAAUACCUCGCAAGAGGGGUGACGGUACCGGUAUAAGAAGCCCCGGCUAACUACGUGCCAGCAGCCGCGGUAAGACGUAGGGGGCCAGCGUUGCUCGGAAUUACUGGGUGUAAAGGGUUCGUAGGCGGUGUGGCAAGUCGGGAGUGAAAUCCCUGGGCUCAACCCAGGGGCUGCUUCCGAAACUGCUGUGCUAGAGUGUGGGAGAGGCGCGUGGAAUUGCAGGUGUAGCGGUGAAAUGCAGAUAUCUGCAGGAACACCCGUGGCGAAAGCGGCGCGCUGGACCACUACUGACGCUGAGGAACGAAAGCUAGGGGAGCAAACAGGAUUAGAUACCCUAGUAGUCC